CUCCAGCUUGCUGGGGUACACGAGUGGCGAACGGGUGAGUAACACGUGGGUGACCUGCCCUGCACUUCGGGAUAAGCCUGGGAAACUGGGUCUAAUACCGGAUAGGACCGCACCGUGAGGGUGUGGUGGAAAGUUUUUUCGGUGUGGGAUGGGCCCGCGGCCUAUCAGCUUGUUGGUGGGGUAAUGGCCUACCAAGGCGGCGACGGGUAGCCGGCCUGAGAGGGUGGACGGCCACAUUGGGACUGAGACACGGCCCAGACUCCUACGGGAGGCAGCAGUGGGGAAUAUUGCACAAUGGGCGGAAGCCUGAUGCAGCGACGCCGCGUGGGGGAUGACGGCCUUCGGGUUGUAAACUCCUUUCACCAUCGACGAAGGGUUUCUGACGGUAGAUGGAGAAGAAGCACCGGCUAACUACGUGCCAGCAGCCGCGGUAAUACGUAGGGUGCGAGCGUUGUCCGGAAUUACUGGGCGUAAAGAGCUCGUAGGUGGUUUGUCGCGUCGUCUGUGAAAUUCCGGGGCUUAACUCCGGGCGUGCAGGCGAUACGGGCAUAACUUGAGUACUGUAGGGGAGACUGGAAUUCCUGGUGUAGCGGUGAAAUGCGCAGAUAUCAGGAGGAACACCGGUGGCGAAGGCGGGUCUCUGGGCAGUAACUGACGCUGAGGAGCGAAAGCAUGGGGAGCGAACAGGAUUAGAUACCCUGGUAGCCAUGCCGUAAACGGUGGGCGCUAGGUGUGGGUUUCCUUCCACGGGAUCCGUGCCGUAGCUAACGCAUUAAGCGCCCCGCCUGGGGAGUACGGCCGCAAGGCUAAAACUCAAAGGAAUUGACGGGGGCCCGCACAAGCGGCGGAGCAUGUGGAUUAAUUCGAUGCAACGCGAAGAACCUUACCUGGGCUUGACAUAUACAGGAUCGCGCCAGAGAUGGUGUUUCCCUUGUGGCUUGUAUACAGGUGGUGCAUGGUUGUCGUCAGCUCGUGUCGUGAGAUGUUGGGUUAAGUCCCGCAACGAGCGCAACCCUUGUCUUAUGUUGCCAGCACGUUGUGGUGGGGACUCGUAAGAAACUGCCGGGGUUAACUCGGAGGAAGGUGGGGAUGACGUCAAAUCAUCAUGCCCCUUAUGUCCAGGGCUUCACACAUGCUACAAUGGUCGGUACAGUGGGUUGCCAGUCCGUGAGGGCGAGCUAAUCCCGCAAAGCCGGUCUCAGUUCGGAUCGGGGUCUGCAACUCGACCCCGUGAAGUCGGAGUCGCUAGUAAUCGCAGAUCAGCAACGCUGCGGUGAAUACGUUCCCGGGCCUUGUACACACCGCCCGUCACGUCAUGAAAGUCGGUAACACCCGAAGCCAGUGGCCUAC
Molecule: ribosomal RNA, 1350 nt
Filed under: Corynebacterium amycolatum
Lineage: Bacteria; Bacillati; Actinomycetota; Actinomycetes; Mycobacteriales; Corynebacteriaceae
Description: partial 16S ribosomal RNA
Rfam family: Bacterial small subunit ribosomal RNA
Source: RNAcentral